Molecule: RNA transcript, 2495 nt
Organism: Manis javanica (Malayan pangolin)
Lineage: Eukaryota; Metazoa; Chordata; Mammalia; Pholidota; Manidae
Gene: IFITM10
Gene name: interferon induced transmembrane protein 10
Source: RefSeq, a predicted model, not a curated record
CGAUUGUGUCCGAGUCUGUGUCGCUGUGAUGGGUCCACGCUGCGUUUCACAGUGCGGAGCUGUUUACCUGGCAGCACCUCUGAGCGAACGGGGCCCAGGGCCCGGCCAGUGCCCAGCGCUGCUGGGAGCCUCUGCCAGCACCACGGACGGCACCCAGGAAGCCCGAGUCCCCCUGGACGGGGCCUUCUGGAUCCCAAGGCCCCCAGCGGGUUCGCCCAAGGGCUGCUUCGCCUGUGUGUCCAAGUCUCCCGCCCUGCAGGCUCCGGCGGCCCCUGCCCCUGCGCCCUCAUCCUCGCCCCCCAUGGCGCCCACUCUGUUCCCCAUGGAGUCCAAAAGCAGUAAGACGGACAGUGUGCGGGCUGCCGGCGCACCCCAGGCCUGCAAGCACCUCGCAGAGAAGAAGACAAUGACGAACCCCACGACGGUGGUGGAGGUCUACCCGGACACCACGGAGGUCAACGACUACUACCUGUGGUCCAUCUUCAACUUCGUCUACCUCAACUUCUGCUGCCUGGGAUUCAUCGCCCUGGCCUACUCCCUGAAAGUUCGGGACAAGAAGCUCCUGAACGACCUGAACGGAGCGGUGGAGGACGCCAAGACGGCCCGGCUCUUCAACAUCACCAGCUCCGCCCUGGCGGCCUCUUGCAUCAUCCUGGUCUUUGUCUUCCUGCGGUACCCGCUCACCGACUACUGAGGCCGCUGCCCCGUGGCCGCGGGGACAAAGCGCCAAGACGUGUUUGCUUCGGCGAUUGAGUUUCACAGGGGAGCAAAUCCAUGAAGAGCCCAUAUGUCUCGCUGAAAGUCCGGCUUUAUUGAGAUUUGAAGACUAUGUUUUUUGGAGCAGUUCCUGGCCCAGGGCACAGUUGGGUGGGAAGUACAGAGGGUUCCUGGAUGCCCUCCCCACAACCCGCGGCCCCACCUGCGACAGCCCUGCCCGUGGGCACAUGUGUUACCGCCGGGAACCUGCACUGAUUCGUCCUCACCCAGAGCCCGCAUUUGCUCUCGGUUCACCCUUCCUCUUCUACUUACUUUUUGUCUGAAAAGACGUGCAGGGAGUAACUUUCUCCUACACACUGGCCCUCAAGGCCUGGGCUUGAUGUCCAGGUUGCCUGCCUUUAACAUGGGCUUUCAGUUGUUCAAUGGCAUCUAUUACCCACUGGCAGGCCCAGCAGCCUGCUCCCGACAGAAGGACGCCAACUCACACACUCCAUAGCUGGGGGCACCCAGAUCCCAGCGCGGGACCCGGGGCCUGUGCGGCUCGCCUAGGUUCAAUGCCAGAGCCGUCCAAGGGCAGGCAUCUCCCCUGGGGCUGGUUAGCUGAGACCUGCAGAACUCCGGCCUCUGUUGCCCUAAGAGAGCAUCUCGCUGAAGGGGCUCAGGAGGCCCUGGAGCCACAGCUGCACUGGGCGAGUCUAUGGGUGGCGUCCCUGCAGCCAUUAGCUGACGUCCUCCAGAGCGACAGGACAGGACGUGUAGAAAGACGCUGCUGUAAGGCAUCGGCUCGUGCACUGUGGAGGCCUGGCGAGCUCAAGUCCGACGGGGGAGGCCUGCACUGGCGCCUCAGAGCAGGGCAGCCGUUUGAGUCUGAGGGUCUCUGGGGCCAAACCAGAAGCCAAAGGCCAUCUGGGCAGAGCACCUGCCCUCGGGGGAGCCGGCCUUCUCCUCCUGUUCUACUCAGGCCUUCGCUGGCUGGGGAACAGCCAUCACCGUGCCGCAAGUCCCCCAACUUACAUGCUCAUCUCAUCCGAAAUGCCCUCACAGAAGUAUCCAGAACAAUGUCAGACCAGCAGUCUGGGUGCCACAGCCCCACCAAGUUGACGCGUACAUUGACCACCGCAGUCAGGAACUUGGUGAGCCACGUCCUUGCUCCACAGUGGACUGAACAUGCUUUCCCUGAACACUGACUUUAAAUCCAUGGCCCCCACACAGACUCAUUCAGCUGUUAGACGUGGUGUGCAGAACUUCCCAGUGGGGCCAAGACUUGGUCCCCAAGGCUCCCUGAGACAUCUGGGGCCUACCCAAGGACACCCCCUCUCCUGAGGCCUAUCACCCCACAUGACUCUUCACUGUGAAGUGGGAUGUAAGUGCUUUUUUGGUAAACUCUUCCACACCCUCCCUGGUGAUAAAGCCCAUCUGCCCUCUCCUUCCCUUUUUGCCCUGGCUGCUAGGGAGUUCACAGCAAAAGGUGGGCUCAGGCGGUGGGUUCCCUGGAUCUGGCCCCCAUGUUGUCGUGUCUCUUCCACCUUCUUUCCUUUUGGGUGCCUCCGCUCCAGCUGAACUCUGCUGAGAGAACAGUGUGCGCGAGCCAGCUGGCACCCAGGCGGGCAGGGCAGAUGUCCUUGGGGACAAGGUUAUGUCGGUUUAUGUCUGGACUUCCUGGCUCUGUGCCUUGGGGAAAAUUCCUUUACCUCCGGUCCCCUGUGUUUUAAUUAUACAUUUGGGCUAGAGUAUGCACAACAUUUAACUCAGGACCUGGCACAUGAUUCUCAAUAAAA